Molecule: small RNA, 221 nt
Filed under: Streptomyces uncialis
Lineage: Bacteria; Bacillati; Actinomycetota; Actinomycetes; Kitasatosporales; Streptomycetaceae
Description: Actinobacteria sRNA Ms_IGR-5
Rfam family: Actinobacteria sRNA Ms_IGR-5
Source: Rfam by way of RNAcentral
ACACAGAAGGGAGGUGGUUCGGAGCAUGAGUGAUUACCGGACGAGUGAGGUGGCUGCGGGCUAGCGCUCGUCACCACACCUAGUGCGGUGCCGGACCCGCGCGUGAGAGCGCGCAGCCGGCCCAAUCCCAGCAGUCACCCGACCCGCAGGCCGCCGGUAACCGUCCGGCCGGCUUCCCGCCGCCUCGCGCGGCCGGAACCACGGCCUGCGGGUCGUCUGCU